GACGAACGCUGGCGGCGUGCCUAAUACAUGCAAGUUGAGCGCUGAAGGUUGGUACUUGUACCCACUGGAUGAGCAGCGCACGGGUGAGUAACGCGUGGGGAAUCUGCCUUUGAGCGGGGGACAACAUUUGGAAACGAAUGCUAAUACCGCAUAAAAACUUUAAACACAAGUUUUAAGUUUGAAAGAUGCAAUUGCAUCACUCAAAGAUGAUCCCGCGUUGUAUUAGCUAGUUGGUGAGGUAAAGGCUCACCAAGGCGAUGAUACAUAGCCGACCUGAGAGGGUGAUCGGCCACAUUGGGACUGAGACACGGCCCAAACCCCUACGGGAGGCAGCAGUAGGGAAUCUUCGGAAAUGGACGAAAGUCUGACCGAGCAACGCCGCGUGAGUGAAGAAGGGUUUCGGAUCGUAAAACUCUGUUGGUAGAGAAGAACGUUGGUGAGAGUGGAAAGCUCAUCAAGUGACGGUAACUACACAGAAAGGGACGGCUAACUACGUG
This 497-nucleotide ribosomal RNA is filed under the name uncultured bacterium. RNAcentral's name for it is "partial 16S ribosomal RNA". It matches the Rfam family "Bacterial small subunit ribosomal RNA", at positions 28 to 507 of the family's 1533-position model. The record is from RNAcentral.